AGAUUGAACGCUGGCGGCAUGCUUUACACAUGCAAGUCGAACGGUAACAGGCCGCAAGGUGCUGACGAGUGGCGAACGGGUGAGUAAUGCAUCGGAACGUGCCCAGUCGUGGGGGAUAACGCAGCGAAAGCUGUGCUAAUACCGCAUACGAUCUAUGGAUGAAAGCGGGGGACCAAAGGCCUCGCGCGAUUGGAGCGGCCGAUGUCAGAUUAGCUAGUUGGUGGGGUAAAGGCCCACCAAGGCGACGAUCUGUAGCUGGUCUGAGAGGACGACCAGCC
This 278-nucleotide ribosomal RNA is filed under the name uncultured soil bacterium. RNAcentral describes it as "partial 16S ribosomal RNA". It matches the Rfam family "Bacterial small subunit ribosomal RNA", at positions 26 to 309 of the family's 1533-position model. The record is from RNAcentral.